This 534-nucleotide ribosomal RNA is filed under the name Leuconeurospora sp. IBT-D59. RNAcentral describes it as "eukaryotic LSU rRNA". It matches the Rfam family "Eukaryotic large subunit ribosomal RNA", at positions 74 to 626 of the family's 3401-position model. Lineage: Eukaryota; Fungi; Ascomycota; Leotiomycetes; Thelebolales; Pseudeurotiaceae. The record is from RNAcentral.
AUUACCUCAGUAACGGCGAGUGAAGCGGUAACAGCUCAAAUUUGAAAUCUGGCCGCAAGGUCCGAGUUGUAAUUUGUAGAGGAUGUUUCGAGCAUGGUCUGGCCUAAGUUCCUUGGAACAGGACGUCAUAGAGGGUGAGAAUCCCGUAUGCGGUCAGGUGCCUACGCUCAUGUGAAACUCCUUCGACGAGUCGAGUUGUUUGGGAAUGCAGCUCAAAAUGGGUGGUAAAUUUCAUCUAAAGCUAAAUAUUGGCCAGAGACCGAUAGCGCACAAGUAGAGUGAUCGAAAGAUGAAAAGCACUUUGGAAAGAGAGUUAAACAGUACGUGAAAUUGUUGAAAGGGAAGCGCUUGCAACCAGACUUGCGCGCGGCUGAUCAUCCGGGCUUCUGCCCGGUGCACUCGGUCGCGCUCAGGCCAGCAUCGGUUUUGGUGGCGGGAUAAAGGCCUUGGGAAUGUAGCUCCUCUCGGGGAGUGUUAUAGCCCAGGGUGCAAUGCCGCCUACCGGGACCGAGGACCGCGCUUCGGCUAGGAUGC